GCGGGGAGGAGGGGUGGAUUUGACAGGUAGCGCGUGGUGGUGAGUAUUAAAGAGAACAUGUUCGUCAUGGUUGCAGUGCCAAAGAGAGAAUCGGGAGUGCGCAUGAAGGGAUGGGAUGGGUCCGAUGGGUAGUGCAUGAGUGUGAGUUGAUGAUUACUUAUGUACCCAUUCAGAUUAAAUUGGUUGAUUUGUCUCUGCUUUCGGCUGCAGAGAUUGAUUGGCUUAAUAACUAUCACUCACUAGUCUGGGAAAAGGUUUCACCAUUGUUGGAUGGCUCUGCUCGCCAAUGGCUUUGGAACAACACUCUGCCUAUCGUCCAUGAGAAAAUUUAAUGUUUUUCAUGUUAAUGUGCUAUGGUACUCGAGGUUGACAUUCUGGCCUGCUGCCUCCACGUCUAUUUUGUCUAUACUGCUUAUCUACAUCAUUCAUAUAGGAAACUCUGUGAAAUGUGAAUAAAAUAGUGAGUAGGGAUUACAUGAAUUUGAUCAUAGGAUCUUUGGCUGGACAAAUGAGCAUUUAGCCAUUUGCACCCUUUUAAGUAUGCUUACUUGUGAGAUUCAAUAUAAUUUUUUAAGCUGUUGUGAAAGUUUACCCUCUCAACUCUGUAUCUUAGAAGUUAUAUAUUAAACAAAAAAUAAUGAUACAGUCUCGAAUUUCUUGCUU
Molecule: long non-coding RNA, 663 nt
Organism: Glycine soja
Lineage: Eukaryota; Viridiplantae; Streptophyta; Magnoliopsida; Fabales; Fabaceae
Exons: 3
Source: RefSeq, a predicted model, not a curated record